UACGUAGGGAGCAAGCGUUGUCCGGAAUCAUUGGGCGUAAAGCGCGCGUAGGUGGCCUCAUAAGUCCGCUGUGAAAGUCAAAGGCUCAACCUUUGAAAGCCGGUGGAUACUGUGAGGCUAGAGUACGGAAGAGGCGAGUGGAAUUCCUGGUGUAGCGGUGGAAUGCGUAGAUAUCUGGAGGAACACCGGUGGCGAAGGCGGCAUCCUGGACCGGCAUUGACGCUGAGGCGCGAAAGCCAGGGGAGCAAACGGG
This 253-nucleotide ribosomal RNA is filed under the name uncultured bacterium. RNAcentral's name for it is "partial 16S ribosomal RNA". It matches the Rfam family "Bacterial small subunit ribosomal RNA", at positions 524 to 776 of the family's 1533-position model. The record is from RNAcentral.